AACGAACGCUGGCGGCAUGCCUAACACAUGCAAGUCGAACGAGACCUUCGGUUCUAGUUGCGCACGGGUGCGUAACGCGUGGGAACCUUCCCUUAGGUUGGGAAUAACUCCCCGAAAGGGGUGCUAAUACCGGAUAAUGUCUUCGGACCAAAGAAUUAUCGCCUUUGGAUGGGCCCGCGUUGGAUUAUCUAGUUGGUAGGGUAAAAGCCUAACAAGGCGACGAUCCAUAGCUGGUCUGAGAGGAUGAUCAGCCACACUGGGACUGAGACACGGCCCAGACUCCUACGGGAGGCAGCAGUGGGGAAUAUUGGAAAAUGGGGGAAAGCCUGAUCCAGCAAUGCCGCGUGAGUGAUGAAGGCAUUAGGGUUGUAAAGCUCUUUUACCCGGGAUGAUAAUGACAGUACCGGGAGAAUAAGCUCCGGCUAACUCCGUG
Molecule: ribosomal RNA, 433 nt
Filed under: uncultured bacterium
Lineage: Bacteria
Description: partial 16S ribosomal RNA
Rfam family: Bacterial small subunit ribosomal RNA
Source: RNAcentral